GGGCGCAAGCCUGAUCCAGCCAUGCCGCGUGCAGGAUGAAGGCCUUCGGGUUGUAAACUGCUUUUGUACGGAACGAAAAGGUUUGGCCUAAUAAGCUGAGCUCAUGACGGUACCGUAAGAAUAAGCACCGGCUAACUACGUGCCAGCAGCCGCGGUAAUACGUAGGGUGCGAGCGUUAAUCGGAAUUACUGGGCGUAAAGCGUGCGCAGGCGGUUAUGUAAGACAGAUGUGAAAUCCCCGGGCUCAACCUGGGAACUGCAUUAGUGACUGCAUAGCUGGAGUACGGCAGAGGGGGAUGGAAUUCCGCGUGUAGCAGUGAAAUGCGUAGAUAUGCGGAGGAACACCGAUGGCGAAGGCAAUCCCCUGGGCCUGUACUGACGCUCAUGCACGAAAGCGUGGGGAGCAAACAGGAUUAGAUACCCUGGUAGUCCACGCCCUAAACGAUGUCAACUGGUUGUUGGGUCUUCACUGACUCAGUAACG
RNAcentral lists this ribosomal RNA (482 nucleotides) under uncultured bacterium. Its description in RNAcentral is "bacterial SSU rRNA". It matches the Rfam family "Bacterial small subunit ribosomal RNA", at positions 373 to 848 of the family's 1533-position model. The record is from RNAcentral.